Gopherus flavomarginatus (Mexican gopher tortoise) is the source of this 560-nucleotide long non-coding RNA. RefSeq lists it as uncharacterized. The record is from RefSeq and is a predicted model, not a curated record. The transcript is spliced from 3 exons. NCBI's taxonomy places the organism in Eukaryota, Metazoa, Chordata, Testudines, Testudinidae.
AGCCUGCCACAGCUGGGGGUAUGGGGGAAGGAGGAGAACGGAACAAUAGGGCAGGCAAAGGAGAAGAGAGAUGGUCUAGGGAAGGACAGAGGGAAUGGAGCAGGAGGGGAUGGAGAGAGAUGAUCGAGGGAAGGAUGGAAGGAAGGAAGCAGGUGGGGGUGGAGAGAGAUGAUCAAGGGAAGGUCAGAGGGAAUGGAGCAGGUGGGAAUGGAGAGAGAUGACGGAGGGAAGAACAGGGGAAUGGAGCAAGUGAGGAUGGAGAGAGGUGAUGGAGGGAAGAACAGGGGAAUGGAGCAGGUGGGGAUGGAGAGAGAUGAUCGAGGGAAGAACAGGGGAAUGGAGCAGGUGGGGAUGGAGAGAGAUGAUCGAGGGAAGAACAGGGGAAUGGAGCAGGUGGGGAUGGAGAGAGAUGAUUGAGGGAAGGAUGGACGGAAGGAAGCAGGCGAGAGUGGAGAGAGAUGAUCAAAGGAAGGUCAGAGGGAAUGGAGCAGGCGGGGAUGGAGAGAGAUGAUGGAGGGAAGAACAGGGGAAUGGAGCAGGCUGGGAUGGAGAAAGAUGAU